Molecule: long non-coding RNA, 1199 nt
Organism: Dreissena polymorpha
Lineage: Eukaryota; Metazoa; Mollusca; Bivalvia; Myida; Dreissenidae
Exons: 5
Source: RefSeq, a predicted model, not a curated record
UGGGAAUUCCUGCAAGAGUGUGGCACAGCGCCUCCUUAUAGGUCCAAAUAUAUGUACUACAAGUCCUCUGGAAAAUGCCACUAACCUGAACAAUCUUACAGCAGAUGUUGCAACACAAACAGAUUUCAUAGCUGGGAGGGUGCUAGUAGGUCAGCAGAGUUGAUUCACCAGACAGCUUUGAAAAGAUUGAGACAGUAUGCCCCGCUUUCAAAAACUGAGAAAGCGUGCCUUAUCGACCUGAUAUAUAAUGCUACACCACAGCAGAUGGCCAGAACAAUGAUGGGUAUAACUUCACUUGGAGGAGAACUGAGAAAUAUAGUGUUAUUUGAUCUUGAGAUGGAGGCACAAGAGUGUGCAAACAAGGGAAGUGCACUGUACUUGAAACACUUUGACAACUUAAUCAAAUUUAGAUGGGAAAACAUCAUAAACGAAAUGGUCAAAAAACAAAGUUUCCUUGCUCAGGUGCUCCUUGCCAUCACUUUACCUAGAAAAAAGAUAGGUGACAGUAAAAGGACCCAAGACCUCGUCCCAGUGAUGGGGACAGCGUCUGCGAUCCUGAUGAAACAGAGGUACUCUGCUCUGUCUGUGGUACAGAAGAUGAUCUCAGUAGCAUUAGCAAAUGAACAAACACACCAGAAGAUUUCACUGUUCACUGUCUGUGAAAGAUGAAUAGAUUCUUCGUCAUCUGGAAUUCAAUAUGGUCUAUGAUCAACUCCAACCAUUGGGGAUCACACUAUGCCACCAGAGUAUGCUGGACACGAUGACCUCAAUAUCUGGGACAUUCAAUUCUAAAUUGAUAGACAGUUUGAAAUCAGGAAAAUGCUUUCGCAUAGUGGGGGACAACAUAAACUUCAAGAUGGGUGUUUCACAAGAGCGUAAAAGUGUGGGGAAAGUAGGUCAUAUUCAACACUGGUUUGGAUCUGCAGCUAUUGUCCAAAACGUCAACUUCCAGGCUAUGGAUAAUAAUAUUCCACAUUGUGAUCUCCGCCUUUUGCUUACAGAAACCUUUAUCAUAUGUGAGGAAGAAUUGCAGGAAAUUUCAAAUAAUUUCUCCGUUCUUUCUUCAAGAGUUCUCGUGGAAUAAUUCCCAUGGCUGAAGCCCUCCCCUGCUUGUGUGAAUUUCAGUAUUGUGUGUUUGAUUGUAAUUUUGCAAAGCUUGCGAAUAUUUUGUGUCUUGAAAAAUAAAAAUAAAACAACCA